AGGCAGCAGUGGGGAAUUUUUGUCAAUGGGGGAAACCCUGAACAAGCAACGCCGCGUGGAGGAUGAAGGCCUUCGGGUCGUAAACUCCUGUCGGAGGGGACGAAAGCGGCUGGGGCGAAUAACCCCAGUUGUUGACGGUACCCUAGGAGGAAGCCCCGGCUAACUCCGUGCCAGCAGCCGCGGUAAUACGGGGGGGGCAAGCGUUGUUCGGAAUUACUGGGCGUAAAGGGCGCGCAGGCGGCCCGGCAAGUCCUUCGUGAAAUCCCACGGCUCAACUGUGGAACUGCGGCGGAUACUGCUGGGCUUGAGUCCGGGAGAGGGGAGUGGAAUUCCCAGUGUAGCGGUGAAAUGCGUAGAUAUUGGGAGGAACACCGGUGGCGAAGGCGGCUCCCUGGACCGGUACUGACGCUGAGGCGCGAAAGCUAGGGGAGCAAACGGGAUUAGAUACCCCGGUAGUCCUAGCUGUAAACGUUGAGCACUUGGUGUGGCGGGUGUCGACCCCUGCCGUGCCGAAGCUAACGCAUUAAGUGCUCCGCCUGGGGAGUACGGUCGCAAGGCUGAAACUCAAAUGAAUUGACGG
RNAcentral lists this ribosomal RNA (580 nucleotides) under uncultured Actinomycetes bacterium. Its description in RNAcentral is "bacterial SSU rRNA". It matches the Rfam family "Bacterial small subunit ribosomal RNA", at positions 346 to 916 of the family's 1533-position model. The record is from RNAcentral. Lineage: Bacteria; Bacillati; Actinomycetota; Actinomycetes.